GACGAACGCUGGCGGCGUGCUUAACACAUGCAAGUCGAACGGAAAGGCCCUGCUUUUGUGGGGUGCCCGAGUGGCGAACGGGUGAGUAACACGUGAGUAACCUGCCCUUGACUUUGGGAUAACUUCAGGAAACUGGAGCUAAUACCGGAUAGGAGCUCCCGCUGCAUGGUGGGGGUUGGAACGUUUCGGCGGUUGGGGAUGGACUCGCGGCUUAUCAGCUUGUUGGUGGGGUAGUGGCUUACCAAGGCUUUGACGGGUAGCCGGCCUGUGAGGGUGACCGGCCACAUUGGGACUGAGAUACGGCCCAGACUCCUACGGGAGGCAGUAGUGGGGAAUAUUGCCCAAUGGGCGGAAGCCUGAUGCGGCAGCGUCGCGUGCGGGAUGACGGCCUUCGGGUUGUAAACCGCUUUCGCCUGUUACGAAGCGUGAGUGACGGUAAUGGGUAAAGAAGCACCGGCUAACUACGUG
Molecule: ribosomal RNA, 468 nt
Filed under: uncultured bacterium
Lineage: Bacteria
Description: partial 16S ribosomal RNA
Rfam family: Bacterial small subunit ribosomal RNA
Source: RNAcentral